CUCCUUCAGCUCUCCUGGGCUAUUCGGAAACAUUUGGAGCAUGGAAGGAAAUGGACUGUCCAACCGCACAAACAUCAACGGGUCGUCGCACUGCGAUCAGGUCAAACCUUCAGCCGACCUUUUCUUCACUGUGGUCUACAGUCUGGUGUUUCUGGUGGGUUUAGUCCUCAACGGAUUCACCCUGAAGGUUUACUUCUUCAGCGCUCACCAGCAGGUGUCCAGCAGCGUGACCAUCUACCUGAAGAACCUGGUAGCUGCAGACUUCCUGCUCACCCUCAGCCUCCCCUUAAGAAUCGGCCACUUCGCCAGCCGCUCUGUCACCAUGUUCAGGGUCUACUGCAACUUUGGCGCCUCUGCGUUUUACCUGAACAUGUACGCCAGCAUCCUGUUCAUGGGUUACAUCGCAGCAAACAGGUAUCUAAAGAUCGUCCAUCCUUUAGGGACACACAUCUUUCAGACAGUGCGAGCCGCCCACAUCAUCUCUGCGGUAACCUGGGUUGUCCUCUUGGCCAUAAUGACCACCUACGUCACCCAGUCGUUCCUCACCGAGGAACAAUUGCUGUCCGUCCCAAAUACCCUGAGCUGUGACGCUCUGCACAGUGAACAACUCAGCCUCUUCUACAAAGUCAUCCACACCUUGUCUGCGGCCAUCUUCAUCAUCGUCCUCGUCUCCCUCAUCUUCUUCUACCACGGCACCUCCCGCAGGCUGUCAGCAGCACAGCAGAGACAGCAAGCGUCCUCCGGAUCCAAGAAGCUCGCCAAGUCCCGCAGGAACAUGUUGGUGCUGGUCAGCGUCUUCUGCGUCUGCUUCGUCCCGUACCACCUGGUCCGCCUGCCGUACGCUUUCCUGAGGGGGUGGUGCUCAUGGAGGCAGGCCUUCUUCUACCUGAAGGAGCUGACCGUCAUGGUGUCCGUUCUCAACGUCUGCCUGGACCCGCUCAUCUAUUUCAUCUUCUGUAAAGCCUUCAGGGCCCAGCUGAGGUUGAGGAGGGUGUUCAGCGCCAGAGAGGAUCCGACGCACAGGGCGAGCGCAGAGAGGAGGAGCAGCAACUUGCGGAUGAGCACCAUCAUGUUCAACAAGAAGUCAUCACUCACAGCCACUUAGCCCAUCAGCGUGCUUUAGGGCACCUGGAUUGCUGGGAGUGUUUACCCCCUUGGUUUGGACACACUCUGAUGAGGAACAAGAGAAGUUCAAUAUCAGAGUCAUUGGUCAUCCCCCUUUUUUGCACAAUUGAUUUUGUUGGUAGGUUAACUCAGAGCCAGCCCUAACCAAUUUGGCGCCCUAGGCAAGAUUUCAGCAGUUGCCCCUUAUAUUGCAUCCAGUUUGACCACUAAUCACAAUAUUCAUAGACUUAAAGAAAACUGGCAUACAGCUUUAUAUUUACCAGAAUUUCUUCAUUUUAAAAUAAAAAAUAUUUCUAAACAAACGUGACUAAAAUGGCAAUAACACUAAUAUUUCUUAUAAAUAAAUACAAAUAACUAGUGUAACAGAACAAACAAUAUCAAACAGUGCAGGGAGCAGAAGUGGUCACAGACGGCCCAGGGAUGACAGGGGAUGGUUUUAAAUGUUUAUGAUUGCAUCUGGAGAGAGAAGAUGGGCAUUUGUGAAACAAUGGGAAUUUUAUAAUAUAGUGUGAAAACAAAAUAUUAUUUUCUGUUCAGCACAGUAUAGAAAUCUCAGCACAGUUUUUCAGGUGAGCCCAAACGUUUUCCUUACAACCAGACCUACAGCAUGCACAACUAUCUAUCCAGUGAGGACUUCUAGCACAAAAUGUGAGGACUUAAUAGCACUUCAUGCUAUUAAACAUAAAUGCUCUAAAGGCAAGAGUUUAAAACUAUUAAUGACAACAGGAGGUGGAAAAUAAACAUUUCAAUCGACUAGGGUGAAAGCUAACUAAGUACACAAAGAUGUCAAUAAAUAUAAAAGUAGGUUUUGUGUCCAACAACAUAGCUUACUUCACAAAAGAAGAAGUGUAUUUCUUACACUGGUUAUUUUCUUAACAUGAAUAAUCUUUACCUUAUGAAAAUACAGUGGAACUAACUGAUGUUAAUUCAAGCUACUGAUUAGGAAUUAGGAAACACAGACAUUACUAUCAUCCAUGACAAAACUAGCUUCACUACAACAGAUAAAUCAUUGAUCUGUGCAGCACGUUACCUCUGUGUCUUUUUCAUAUUAUUCCUCCUCUUCUUUUUCGUCCCUGGGCUCCCGAGGGCUUUGUUGUUAUUGUUUUUUUUACAUUACGGUCAUUUAUAAACGUGAUAUUAAUUGGUACACUCAUUGUCACUCACUUCACAUAAGUCACCUGCCCUCCUCCUCCACAACGAGCAGCUGUGUUGUGAUGCGCCGCGUCAAGCAAGAGACAAGAAAAUAGAGCCUUUUUAAAUGUGUGAAGUAGCCUAGUUGUGUUUUCAUGGCUUCUUUCAUAACGUUACCAAUUAAUAGCAUGAAAAUUAUAUUAGAUAAAUAAUAUUUACACACAUUUUUUCUUCUAUUUCUUCUUCUUAUCUUCAACUUUUCUGCCUCAUUAAUUUUGGGCGCCAGUGGUGCCCCCUAUGGAUGCUGGCGCCCCUAGCAUUUACCUAUACUGCCUAUGCCACGGGCCGGCCCUGGGUUAACUAACGGCCGUCUUGGAGCAACAUCCCCUGGUGGAAUGAGGCAAGGAGGAAGCCGAUCCAGGCUGUCAUUGGGUGAGAGGCGGGGUUACACCCUGGACUGUUCACCAGCCAAUCACAGAGCUGACAUAUAGAGACAGACAACCAGACACACUCACAUUCAGAGAGUCAGCAGUUAACCUAACGAGCAUGUGUUUGAACUGUGGGAGGAAGACGGAGAACCAGGAGAGAACCCACACAUGAAGAACAUGCAGACUACACACAGAGAGACUCCUGAAGGACGGGGAUUCAAACCAGGAACCUCCUCACAGAGAGACUCCUGUCAGAUGGGGAUUCAAACCAGGAACCUCCUCACAGAGAGACUCCUGUC
This is an RNA transcript of Labrus mixtus (cuckoo wrasse), 2983 nucleotides long. It is a transcript of the gene named P2Y purinoceptor 14-like, with no coding region annotated. The transcript is spliced from 4 exons. The record is from RefSeq and is a predicted model, not a curated record. NCBI's taxonomy places the organism in Eukaryota, Metazoa, Chordata, Actinopteri, Labriformes, Labridae.